AAUCCAGUCUUCCGAUUGGUCUUCAAUAGUGGGAUGCCAUUUGGAUGUUCUCUCAGGCUGGACAGAUCCCUUGUGUGCGACAUUCUGCAAUGGCAUCCGCAACAGACAUACUUAGAACUUGAGCUGCCAAACUGACUUUCAUUGGUUGUCUUCGCCAAUCGAUAUGUGAGCUGCGGAGACGGUUAGCAAGCGCAUUUCUCACGAGCUUCAGCAUAUGACAAGGAUCCAUGAAAACGACAACAACUUCACCUGUUUCAGGGUGCUGGAAACUUGUCUUCAAAUUUUUGGGGUCACUGAAGUUGCACCCAAGCUGU
This is a long non-coding RNA of Ornithodoros turicata, 314 nucleotides long. RefSeq lists it as uncharacterized. The record is from RefSeq and is a predicted model, not a curated record. The transcript has 3 exons. Lineage: Eukaryota; Metazoa; Arthropoda; Arachnida; Ixodida; Argasidae.